GACGAACGCUGGCGGCGUGCUUAACACAUGCAAGUCGAACGGAAAGGCCCUGCUUUUGUGGGGUGCUCGAGUGGCGAACGGGUGAGUAACACGUGAGUAACCUGCCCUUGACUUUGGGAUAACUUCAGGAAACUGGGGCUAAUACCGGAUAGGAGCUCCUGCUGCAUGGUGGGGGUUGGAAAGUUUCGGCGGUUGGGGAUGGACUCGCGGCUUAUCAGCUUGUUGGUGGGGUAGUGGCUUACCAAGGCUUUGACGGGUAGCCGGCCUGAGAGGGUGACCGGCCACAUUGGGACUGAGAGACGGCCCAGACUCCGACGGGAGGCAGCAGUGGGGAAUAUUGCACAAUGGGCGGAAGCCUGAUGCAGCAACGCCGCGUGCGGGAUAACGGCCUUCGGGUUGUAAACCGCUUUCGCCUGUGACGAAGCGUGAGUGACGGUAAUGGGUAAAGAAGCACCGGCUAACUACGUG
RNAcentral lists this ribosomal RNA (468 nucleotides) under uncultured bacterium. RNAcentral's name for it is "partial 16S ribosomal RNA". It matches the Rfam family "Bacterial small subunit ribosomal RNA", at positions 28 to 507 of the family's 1533-position model. The record is from RNAcentral.